RNAcentral lists this ribosomal RNA (464 nucleotides) under uncultured Klebsiella sp. Its description in RNAcentral is "bacterial SSU rRNA". It matches the Rfam family "Bacterial small subunit ribosomal RNA", at positions 338 to 795 of the family's 1533-position model. The record is from RNAcentral. Lineage: Bacteria; Pseudomonadati; Pseudomonadota; Gammaproteobacteria; Enterobacterales; Enterobacteriaceae.
CCUACGGGAGGCAGCAGUGGGGAAUAUUGCACAAUGGGCGCAAGCCUGAUGCAGCCAUGCCGCGUGUGUGAAGAAGGCCUUCGGGUUGUAAAGCACUUUCAGCGGGGAGGAAGGCGUUAAGGUUAAUAACCUUGGCGAUUGACGUUACCCGCAGAAGAAGCACCGGCUAACUCCGUGCCAGCAGCCGCGGUAAUACGGAGGGUGCAAGCGUUAAUCGGAAUUACUGGGCGUAAAGCGCACGCAGGCGGUCUGUCAAGUCGGAUGUGAAAUCCCCGGGCUCAACCUGGGAACUGCAUUCGAAACGGGCAGGCUAGAGUCUUGUAGAGGGGGGUAGAAUUCCAGGUGUAGCGGUGAAAUGCGUAGAGAUCUGGAGGAAUACCGGUGGCGAAGGCGGCCCCCUGGACAAGGCUGACGCUCAGGUGCGAAAGCGUGGGGAGCAAACAGGAUUAGAUACCCCGGUAGUC